Molecule: ribosomal RNA, 394 nt
Filed under: Stenotrophomonas sp.
Lineage: Bacteria; Pseudomonadati; Pseudomonadota; Gammaproteobacteria; Lysobacterales; Lysobacteraceae
Description: bacterial SSU rRNA
Rfam family: Bacterial small subunit ribosomal RNA
Source: RNAcentral
GAGCUUGCUCUUAUCUUGCUUUUAUGGGUGGCNAGUGGCGGACGGGUGAGGAAUACAUCGGAAUCUACCUUUUCGUGGGGGAUAACGUAGGGAAACUUACGCUAAUACCGCAUACGACCUUCGGGUGAAAGCAGGGGACCUUCGGGCCUUGCGCGGAUAGAUGAGCCGAUGUCGGAUUAGCUAGUUGGCGGGGUAAAGGCCCACCAAGGCGACGAUCCGUAGCUGNNNUGAGAGGAUGAUCAGCCACACUGGAACUGAGACACGGUCCAGACUCCUACGGGAGGCAGCAGUGGGGAAUAUUGGACAAUGGGCGCAAGCCUGAUCCAGCCAUACCGCGUGGGUGAAGAAGGCCUUCGGGUUGUAAAGCCCUUUUGUUGGGAAAGAAAAGCAGUCG